RNAcentral lists this long non-coding RNA (1430 nucleotides) under Gadus morhua (Atlantic cod). RNAcentral describes it as "lncRNA (ENSGMOG00000035760.1)". The record is from RNAcentral. Lineage: Eukaryota; Metazoa; Chordata; Actinopteri; Gadiformes; Gadidae.
CCACAGGUUCAGGGUAGCGUUUUGAACACAUGCUUCGCGUUGUGCCGGCGAAAUGCACAUUUCUUGUCGCGUUGUGCCGGCGAAAUGCACACUUCUGCAUAACUGCUUGCAGUUCUAGUUCUUAUACUUCCUACCAAGAAAGUGGUACCACAGCCCAGACCGUAAAUGUUGCCGACAUGCCAAUUGCAUGACUAGAUCCAGGUCCGUGAAGACUAUUCAGACGACAAAAUCCAGACACGCCGGCCACUAGGUGGCGCUAUACCAAGGAAAGACGCGUUUGGGGCUAUAACUCCCACACCGAACCUCCCACAGUCAAAAACUUGUACGCACAUAUUCACUGGAGUCUGCUGCAUCUUUUGGCAUAGGCCACGCCCAUUUGCGUCUAGAAUUUUUUUGCGCAAAAUCGCGAAAACCGCAAAACUGUUUUUUCGCUACUCCUCCCACAUUUCUUGACCAAUCGACACCAAACUUUGCACACGACAUCUUCAGACGCACACGCAAAGAAUGCAUGAAACACUUUUUUGAUCCGACCUUUGACAACGAAACUGUAGCAUUUGGAAUAUUGGUUUAUGAGCUAAAUUAGACGUGGAAAAUCAAAAAUCCAAAGAAAUCCAAAAUUAGACAUCGGAACGAGUCCAAAUUUUACACACAUGUUGGUGCUAACCUUAAUGUCGUUCGAUAAAAAUUUCGGAAAAUUUCGCCAUUAGGGGGCGCAAUAAACGAGGAAAUUGUAUAUCUUCUAAUUGGCCAAAGGAAUGUACUUCAAACUCAAGGGAAACCAUCAAGGGGCAAACCCGAGUCUAUAUAGAAAAUAUGGCCAAGAAUUAUUAAUGUGGGCGGGAGUUAUUUGGCAAAGGAAACGGUUUGGUUUCUUAGUUCUGCCUCGUUGUAGUUGUUUUGGGAGCGGCUAGAUUAGCAUGUCGCGAUACUACAGGGGAUCACGUCUGCGCCGAGUAGAUGCGCAGAGGGUUGAAACAGCGCUUGUCCGGUCUGCUCACAAGAAGGUUUCUUUGGCCAGUUACUGUGAUUAAACACGAGUUGUUUAAUGUUCACAAUGUAUCGUUUUUCAUGGGGAAAAUGAGAUGCGUCCCCGGGACUGGGACAAAAUAUUAAACCCGUGUUGAUAAAACGCCAUUUUGUUCAGGUGUGGGCGUGGUGUACUCCCAUGGUGCUUCGCGAGUUACACUCAUGGAAUGACUAGCGCGUCAGCAACGGCGCACGGCUCACUCUGACCGGAUUUUCUCUUCUUGAGACAUCUUUGUUCAGAUAGACCCUUUUCCUCUCCCUUCCACGGAUUAAUAUUGUGAGCGGAUUCAUUUGAGUACGUUCUGUCUUUCAACUUUGCGGUUCAACCAAAGAAGUUCGUUGUCAAGGUAAGUCCUGAUGAAAUGGAUAAUUAUGCUUGUCCGCCAUUUUGUAUGCAUCUUGUA